UUACUCCUGUCUCCACGCCCGAAAUGUCCUCCCUUGCCCCGUUCUCCAGAAAGUUGUAAUCGGGAGGAAAAGCCGUAAAUUAGAGGCAGGAGAGUGUCCGGAGGAGCACUACCAGUACAGUGAAAGGUCCCAAGACUGUGCCUUUGGAGGAUCAGUAGAAGGAAACGGUCUCACGGAUGUCUACCGUGGAACGGGCACUCAAUAAAGAUCAUGUCGUUGGUUGAAACGAUCACUGCGUUGGCUUUGGCCAUCGAUUUCAUUGUCUUUGGCCAUCAGUCAGCAUCCUGGUGAAAGUCAUUACUAGGAGCUAACCUGAGAUGGAUUUGGAACAAUCUUCUGAAGACUCCCCAAUUCUAAAGAUCUCAGCCUUCUCUUAAAGCACCAUUUAUUCCUUGACUCUGGCCAGAAUUGCCCUUCUGUAGGAGACAGACUUAUUGAUGCCCUGUGUCCCAGCUAUAGAACAGGCAGGGUCUAAGGGGACACACACACACACACACAAGUGAGCCCAUG
This 510-nucleotide long non-coding RNA is filed under the name Sarcophilus harrisii (Tasmanian devil). RNAcentral's name for it is "lncRNA (ENSSHAG00000025246.1)". Lineage: Eukaryota; Metazoa; Chordata; Mammalia; Dasyuromorphia; Dasyuridae. The record is from RNAcentral.